UACGUAGGGGGCAAGCGUUAUCCGGAUUUACUGGGUGUAAAGGGAGCGUAGACGGCCAGACAAGUCUGAAGUGAAAAUCCAGCGCUUAACGUUGGAAGUGCUUUGGAAACUGCCAGGCUGGAGUGUCGGAGGGGUAAGCGGAAUUCCUAGUGUAGCGGUGAAAUGCGUAGAUAUUAGGAGGAACACCAGUGGCGAAGGCGGCUUACUGGACGACUACUGACGCUGAGGCUCGAAAGCGUGGGGAGCAAACAGG
This 253-nucleotide ribosomal RNA is filed under the name uncultured bacterium. RNAcentral's name for it is "partial 16S ribosomal RNA". It matches the Rfam family "Bacterial small subunit ribosomal RNA", at positions 524 to 776 of the family's 1533-position model. The record is from RNAcentral.